CAGCAGCAGCCACGGGAAUACAGAGGGUGCGAGCGUUAAUCGGAUUUACUGGGCGUAAAGCGUGCGUAGGCGGCUUUUUAAGUCGGAUGUGAAAUCCCUGAGCUUAACUUAGGAAUUGCAUUCGAUACUAGGAAGCUAGAGUAUGGGAGAGGAUGGUAGAAUUCCAGGUGUAGCGGUGAAAUGCGUAGAGAUCUGGAGGAAUACCGAUGGCGAAGGCAGCCAUCUGGCCUAAUACUGACGCUGAGGUACGAAAGCAUGGGGAGCAAACAGGAUUAGAUACCCCAGUAGUCCCUGUCUCUUAUAC
This 304-nucleotide ribosomal RNA is filed under the name uncultured bacterium. RNAcentral describes it as "partial 16S ribosomal RNA". It matches the Rfam family "Bacterial small subunit ribosomal RNA", at positions 506 to 807 of the family's 1533-position model. The record is from RNAcentral.